GCUCAAAUGAGUUCUUUUACAAUAACGUGGAGAGGAAAGGAAACACACAAAAAGAUGAUGCGAAUAGCAGUGUGUCAUAUGAAUCUCAAUUCUUUGAGCAAGAAAAUGAAUUUGAGGAUUUGAAUGAACAAAGUGAAGAUUUUGCUGACAGUUA
Long non-coding RNA from Xenia sp. Carnegie-2017, 154 nucleotides. RefSeq lists it as uncharacterized. Lineage: Eukaryota; Metazoa; Cnidaria; Anthozoa; Malacalcyonacea; Xeniidae. The record is from RefSeq and is a predicted model, not a curated record. The transcript has 3 exons.